This 266-nucleotide ribosomal RNA is filed under the name uncultured Staphylococcus sp. Its description in RNAcentral is "partial 16S ribosomal RNA". It matches the Rfam family "Bacterial small subunit ribosomal RNA", at positions 96 to 354 of the family's 1533-position model. The record is from RNAcentral. Lineage: Bacteria; Bacillati; Bacillota; Bacilli; Caryophanales; Staphylococcaceae.
CGGCGGACGGGUGAGUAACACGUGGGUAACCUACCUAUAAGACUGGGACAACUUCGGGAAACCGGAGCUAAUACCAGAUAAGAUAUCGAACCGCAUGGUUCGAUAGUGAAAGAUGGUUUUGCUAUCACUUAUAGAUGGACCCGCGCCGUAUUAGCUAGUUGGUGAGGUAACGGCUCACCAAGGCAACGAUACGUAGCCGACCUGAGAGGGUGAUCGGCCACACUGGAACUGAGACACGGUCCAGACUCCUACGGGAGGCAGCAGAU